This 380-nucleotide ribosomal RNA is filed under the name uncultured crenarchaeote. RNAcentral describes it as "bacterial SSU rRNA". It matches the Rfam family "Archaeal small subunit ribosomal RNA", at positions 471 to 851 of the family's 1478-position model. Lineage: Archaea; Thermoproteati; Thermoproteota. The record is from RNAcentral.
UAAAACCAGCACCUCAAGUGGUCAGGAGGAUUAUUGGGCCUAAAGCAUCCGUAGCCUGUUCUAUAAGUUUGCGGUUAAAUCCAUAUGCUCAACAUAUGGGCUGCCGUAAAUACUGUAGAACUAGGGAGUGGGAGAGGUAGACGGUACUCGAUAGGAAGGGGUAAAAUCCUUUGAUCUAUUGAUGACCACCUGUGGCGAAGGCGGUCUACCAGAACACGUUCGACGGUGAGGGAUGAAAGCUGGGGGAGCAAACCGGAUUAGAUACCCGGGUAGUCCCAGCUGUAAACGAUGCAGACUCGAUGAUGCAAUGGCAUAGAGCUAUUGCAGUAUCGCAGGGAAGCCGUUAGGUUUGCCGCCUGGGAAGUACGUACGCAAGUAUG